AAUAUGCAAUAUGCAUGCAAAACUAUCCUAGACAUGCAAAGUGAUGACAAAUGAUGAGAAAUGGUAUAAAAUAGUUGUGAUAUGAUGCUAAAGUAAUGACAAAUGGAUGCUCAAAACGUGUAAAAUGCACACUUAUCAACUCCCCCAAACUUAGUCUUUGCUUGCCCUCAAGCAAACAAUUAAGAACAAGGUGGAGGUGAGGUUUGAAAGCGGGGUGAUCGACUUCUACUUAAAAACUUUAGCCAUGCUCUGUUAUGAUCCAAAUUCACACUCAGUUGCACAAUACGUCAAGAUCAACCAAUCCCGUUAACAUUUAUUAAGUUCAGGAACAUGAAUCAAGAUAUGCAUCGCUAGUGAACUCAUUUGGCUAAAGACGAGUUAUGAGACAAAGAUGGUCCGUUUAAGGUGGUUCAUACAUUAAUAACAGGGGACUCUCAUUGAAAAAGGACUGAGGUUUAGAAGAAUGCUAAAGGUAAGUGCCAACAUAUGCAUACAAGAAUAGCACCCCAUCUACCCAAUGACAUAAACCGUGAAUAACAAGUAGAUGGUCCUAUCUCUAAACCCAAUAAUGAUCCUAAGUCUACCCUUUUGCACUAAAGGCAUAUUUCGAUUU
RNAcentral lists this small RNA (613 nucleotides) under Arabidopsis thaliana (thale cress). RNAcentral's name for it is "ATSL092620". Lineage: Eukaryota; Viridiplantae; Streptophyta; Magnoliopsida; Brassicales; Brassicaceae. The record is from RNAcentral.